This is a non-coding RNA of Nelumbo nucifera (sacred lotus), 1475 nucleotides long. Lineage: Eukaryota; Viridiplantae; Streptophyta; Magnoliopsida; Proteales; Nelumbonaceae. The record is from RefSeq and is a predicted model, not a curated record.
UUUCCCUUUUUUUUCAUUACUUCUUUUCAGAGUGGUCUUAUAUCAGAUUAAUAUCUCCUUGCUCUUGAGUUUAACAAGUGCACAAUAAGAAUAUUAAGCCUCCCCUUGCCAAUUACUCCAAGUUUAUUCAUCUUUACGGGGAAAACUGUACCUGCUGCUUGGCACAACAGCUCUUAGUCUGGUAUGUGGUGUGGCUUUGGGAUCAUAUUGCAACUAAUAUUUGCAUUUCAGUUCUUGGGAAUCGAAGCACAUGAGGAUAUACAUUUUACAUAUAACCUAAACUAAUCCAAUUUAGAGACGAGUCUUUGGAUGACAAAGAAGGCACAGUAGUAUGGCAAGGAUCAUCCAAUCGGUUUUCUACAUUAUCUCUGCCAUGAGCCAAUUGAAUGGCAUGCCAGGAUCACUGAUUUUUCAUAUUGGCUUGAUCUGCUUAAUUGAUUAGGAAAUUACUGCAAAAGGUUCACAAGUUCUUUGUUCUGCACCAUUGGUGGAACCAUCACCUCGGAAGUCUCUUCGAGGGAGACUUAACCUCCUGAAACAGAGAGAAAUGGAGAGAGAGGGGGAGGGAAGGAAGAGUAGGAAGAUWAGAGAAGGUAACAAUCAUUCAUAAUAAUAUGAUACCACUGGAACAGUUGCCAAGCAAUUCUGGAACUAGAGAGGUAGUGGCAGUAACAAAUAACAUCCACUAUGGGAUAGGAAUAUGGUCAUGGGAUCACACAUGCAGAUUUCAAUAAAUUAUAUUUUUGCUAAUGAGGGUUGCUCUGCCAGGUUAGAGUCACUAGACAAUUUGGUGUAGAUUAGGUAUGGUUUGAACGGACUUAGAGUUUGUGUGGGAUAGGAAUAUCCAUGAAGCAAUAUUUGCUUGGACAUGGUUUUUGUCUUUGCAAGAGCAAUUUCUUCCUAUAGUUAGUUUAUUCUGACUUUAAGAGUUUGUGUGGAUCACUUAGACUUCAGUAAUGCAGGUGACUACUCCAUUGCUUUUCAAGUUGAUACCUGCCGUUGUACAUCUUGGAGUGCUAUUGUGGUGGUUCUCCCCCGAUAGUGAUCAAAGUGAGAUUGGGUUUAAAGCAGAUGGACAUCGUUCAGACAGUAGUAAGCGUACUGCUCUGAUGGUCCAAGGCUCUCGAAAUUCAUGAUUUUAGAAAGAAAAGCAGAAAUGGAAUUUCAUGUCUUACCUGGUUGGACUUAUGCUCUGGAGGACAGAGUGCAAAAGGAGGUAGAGUGACUGAGUGAGUCACAAAUUACUGUCUUAUAAAAAGCUCUUCUUGAUGUUCUCUAUCACGUAUCUGACCAAGUGAAUCAAACCGAAUCGGAGAAGUGGGAAUACUAACAGAAAGUCCCAAUGCCAAGUAACUUGGAGAGUGUCCAAGCCUGGAACCUUGGUUCAUUCGAGUCGUCGUCAUACAGCCAUUCCAUGUGACCAAUUUUGUGUAAAAUAUUUUCCACUGGUGUAAUGUAAUUCAAUUGAUUUUGUA